UGUUCACAGACACAUAAGUGUCCAUCAUAUUGUCUGUUUUGGGUUUUCCAUAAAUUUAUAUAAAGUAAACCAAUAAUUUGAAGAUUAAAAAAAAAUAAGACCAUAUUAUGUAGCAUUCACUAAGAAACCUUUACUGUAAAAAACUAUUAAUGAGAUCCUAGCAAUGCUGAAGCAAUUCUCUUUCAAGUUUAGAAAUUCCCAUGAACUUGGGUCAUUUCCUUUGCCUAUUUAUUUCUUUGGGUCCAGUUCAGUUCUCAGGAAAAACAAACAUCUCAAAUAACUGACUGAAGGUACUUGAAAGUUUCUCCCUAUUUAUAGUUGGACAUUUAUUCUAAACUGUUUUUAAAGUUUCUUCAUAUUUGGAAUGCAAAGCAUUUUUUUUACCUGAAAAAGAGUGAAAGACUAUAAUGUCCAUUUGAUUUGAUGAUUUUACAAUGCAUGGAAAACAUUCAUCCAUCUAUGGAAGAAGUUUGUUCUGUUUUAUUUUGUUCCACAUCAAGAAGUGUUCCAUAUCACAUGAAGUGUAGUGUCUUUGAUAUUUUGGAGUUCUAUACAUUGAGAAAGAUCAGAUUGCUUAUUCUGUUUUAUCUUUAAAUUAGAGACCUUCUGGCCAGCAUAAUCUUUUCUUUUUAAUAUGAGAAGAUUGUGUAUUGAUAGAUGUUACAAUUUUGAUUUUAUAGGAUUGUACUUAUUUCUAUAGCACUGCAUAUGUUCAUGGGAUGCACCUGUUCAUAUUCAAGUAACACCCUAUAUGUAAUUCAGGCUCGAUUUAACUGUCAGUUACUAGGUAAGUAACAUUUGUGCAUCCUUAUUUGAGCAACUCUAAAAUUGGCCAUAAAUUUAUUUGUUAUUUAGUGUAUAUCUGUGGUGAUUAUCCUGGGUACUGUUCAAAUAAUUCCAUCUUAUUACAGUUUCCCAAAAGUUAUUAAAAGUUACAGUGGAGAAACAUCUUGAUUGGAAAUCAUGCCAUUAAAGAAUAUUUUAUUUAAAAUUUAUCUAAAAUUAAUUUUUAUUAUUUCCCUUUUUAAACUUGUAUAGUUACUUGCUAGACUUUCAAUUAAAGUAAAUUAUCAUUGUUUCAUAAUUGAGUUUUUCUAUUUUUAUAAACCUUAAUUUUUACAAGCUUGAUUUUUACAAGCUCCUCUUCCAUGGAGAGGUUUAGGAAGUUUAUAUUUUCUUUGUUUAUAUUGGAUACCAGCUGAAAUAUUUACUCUGUCAUGGGUUUCCUAAUAGAGAAUUAUUUUUUUUUAGUUGAAAAAAAUCACUGGAGAAAAGUUGAACUAUUUUUUUCCUCAAAAAAAAAAUAUUCCCCUGACAGAUUGUAGUAAAAGCAUGAGUUUUUUCUUUACCUUUGCUUCUGGAUAGAGAGGUUUAUGCUUUCUCUCUUCCCUGUAAUUGAGGCAUAUCUUGAGAGGGAAUAUUUAUAUUCAUAAAAAUAAAUGUAGUUUCCUAUAAUAUCAAGCUUGUUUUAAUAUUUAAAAUAUUAAACAUUUUCCUUUAAAGAAAUUUAAAAUCUUUUAAACACCAUUUCUCAUCUUUUAGUAGGGAAGAAAGCAAUGUCUAACCCCCUUUGUUAACUUUCUGUAUUUUCUGUGUUACAGCAUAAUUUUAUUUUGUAAUACUCAUUUUCAGUAUCAUCCAUGCUUAAUUUUCAGAAAUAUGGAUUGGUCUUCUGCUUUUGGGAAGAAUUCCCAUGAGAGGUGGGAAAUCAAAAUUUCUGAUCCUCAGAAUGUUAUGGCAAUGAUCCAAAAUUAAGCCAUAUUUCCCUAUGAGAGUUUGAGGAAUUUUUUGUCAUUGUGCAUUUCUCAAAAGCCACUAGCUGUGGAAUAUUAUGGUUACCCUGAGACAUGCAAUUUAUUUCCUUUCAAGUUUUAUAUCCCUUCCUCAACCUUUUUUAUUUUGUUAGGUGAAAUAGUUGGUUAUGGGAGCAAUUAAAGUUUUUUUUUUCUUCUCUCUGUAGGGAUAUAUCGAUGUGAUGCAGUGUAGAGCUAGAUGCAAUGCUACAAAGCUAAGGGAUGUACUUGUUAACCUACACCAUUCAGGUUCAUCUCCUGCUUUCUCAAGUUCAUAGGCAAUCUAGUCAAUAUGUCUUAGCAUAUCCUCAGAUAUUAUAAACCCUUCCCCCUAAAAUAAUAAUUUAGAAUUCUUAUCCUUCUUGAUCUCCUCCUUCCCCACAUUUUUCUUAUGAUCAUACUUCCCACUUCAGUUAGUCUUUCAAAUUCUCAAGAGUUCACUACUAAUUGCUCCAUGAUAUAUUAGUAUCAGAGAGCAUAAAAAAUACAGCCAGUUGUUGUUGCAGCUAGGUUGAUUUACUUCCCUCCUACUGCUAGUCAGAGAGAGACGGAAAAGCAAGACAUAAAAUGAGCAGAAAUUUCCCCCAUUUCAGCUUUCUAAGGGAGGCUAGGAGAGAAAGAUUAUGGAAUAUAAUCCACUUGCUCUCACUAGCUGAAUUUACCAACUAGUUUAAAACAUGGCAGAUGACAUGGUUGGAUCUGAUUUAUUUUAGGAAAAUCAUUUUACUCAUUAGUAGUAGGUUGGGGAGAGAUGAGGCAGACCCACUAUCAAGCUGUUAUACUAAUCCAAGCCUGUAGAGGUCAUUACUCUAUACAAGAUCAUGACUGUGAUUUCUCACAUGAACCAAUUAGCUUCUUUGUGUUCCAUGAAGAACGGUGUUUAUAAUUAGUCUCUUGCUGUGGGUUUGUUCUGACUCAGACUGGCCCCAUGGUAGUUUGGUUACAAUAAUGAAAUAAAAUGAGACAUUUACAUAUUGUUUGACAAAGUUUUACUUAUCCUUUAACCUAUUUAACUUUUAUUCUAAUAAAUCUUACAUAAAAAUAGCUGAUAACUUAAAUAGUUUUGUGAAGUAUUCUAUAGUUUUAUGAUUCUUGAUGGUUUUGGUAAGUAUAUAUUUUUUCUCAUUUGAUCAUCACAGAAAGCUGGUAAAAUAAAUUAAUGCAAAUAUAGGAUAAUGCUAUGAUCAUUCAGUAAAUAAUAAAAGAAAAUAUUUACCUGUAGGUAAAAAAUAAAGAUAUUCAAUAAGGAUGCCCAUUUUAUAAAUGAAGCUAACCAUGGUUCAAAAAAGUUAAGUGAGUUUCCUUUAGGCUUAACUAGUAAAUGUCAGAAUUAAAAUCUGAACCCUAGUCUCUUCUAACUCCAGGCAUCUUCUGCUACAUAGCACUGCAUGAUUUAAGUUUUUUUCAUAACUGAUGGAUCUAUGAUUUCAUCAUGUAUCACUAUAAUACAACUAAAUAUCCAUAAAUAUAAAUGACAACUCCAUAUAUCAUCUUGCACAAAUUCUUCAGAGAAGUUGCUGAACACAAAAGAAAUUUCACUUUAUUGUUACAGUAUUUUUUUUAAUAAUUAUAAUUUUUUGUUGACAGAGUUGUUAUAGUAUUUCAAUGUGGCCACCAAAGCUUGUACCAGCUCUCUGUUGUUUUUUCCAGCUACCUCUACUUUCCUAAUCAUAUCUUUUAUGGAUUCUUUUGUGAAAUUUUUCAUGAAAUAACUUUUCUAAAUACUGUCUACGGCACCACAAUCCUAAUCACUCAAACUAGGUAUCAUCCUUGACUCUUCACUUCAUCUCAUUCAUUUGCCAAUUCCUAUUGAUUGUACCUUUCCUCUCAUAACACUGUCAUAACCUCAUCACCUCAUACCUAGACUACUACAAUAAUCUUCAUGCUGAUCUCCCUGCCUCAUAUUUCUUCCCACUUAAAUCCAUAUUUUACUGAGCUGUUAAAUUGAUUUUCCUAAAGUUCAAGUCUAACCAUGUUAUCCUUCUAGUCAAUAAAUUCCUGGGCAUACGUGAUAACGUCCAGCUUCAAAUAUAAAAUCUUCUGUUUGGUUUUCAAAGUCCUUCAAAACCUAAUCCCUCUAUCUCUCAACUUUCCAGUUUUGUUAAAUCUCACAUUCUUUGCUAUCUGGCUUCCUUGCUAUUCCUCCUUGCAAAUCACUCCAUUUCCCAGUUCCUUGCAUUUUCAUCAGCUAUUCCCCUAUUCCUAGAAUUAAUCUUCUUUUCCUGACUUUCUUGACUUCAUUCAGAUCCCAGCUAAAAAUCCCACCUUCUGCAAUCUAAUUUAGUUUUUAGCUAAAUAUUACACACUUAGCAUAGUGCUGGGCACAUAUUUGUUGCUUUGUUAUUGCAUGUUGAUUUGACAUGUUAUUAGGAAUAUUUUUAUCAUCUGUGUGUUUACACCAUCUUUUCAUGGCUUUUUUUUUAAGUGUCAAGUAAUAACUUUGAAUAUGCAGCUAACUAAUAGCAUAUUCAAAAAAAGAUUUGAUAAGCACCUCUGUAAUAUGUUACAGAAUGCUGCAACCCCUUCGAACAAAAUGAGGAAUUUAGCCCAACAUAAUUAUUUGUAGUCAAAAUUAGGACUGGAUGAAUGUUCUUAAUUGGACAUCAGGCCAGAUGACUGAUAGUUUAGAUUUGAUAUGAAACACUUCAUAGAUCAUUCAGUAAUUAUUUAAAAAUUUACUUAGAGAGCAGGAGGAGAAUAAUUUAGUUGAGUAAAUUUUACCCAUCAUGAUCCACUAGGCAAAAAUCUGAGUGUACCAGGAACCUUGUGACUGUUUUGUAUUUAGGUGAGUGGAAAGUGCUAUCAACAACCUAUGCCAAACAAUCCUUACCUUUUAAGAAAAACAAUACCUAUUAAGGAAAAACUAGUUUUACUUGCAUGGGGAUGAGAAUUAGAGUAUCGCUCCCAUCAUAUUAUACUCCUGAAGGUCUUCCAGAGUAGUGGUGACAGACUCAAAUAGAAAUAGGAUCCCUAAAGUAUACAUAAGGAUCACUUCGGAACCCAUAUUGACUUUAGGAAAUUACAUGAUGACAUUUUAGAGUAUAUUUAUUUUGUUAGAUUUUCCCUAAAAACAGCUUUUGAUUUUUAUUUUGUUUUGUUUUUUAACAAUAGCUUUUUAUUUUCAAAAUACAUGCAAAAUAUAUUCAACAUUCACCCUUGCAAAACCUUGUGUUCCACAUUUUUUCCUCCUCCCUAUUCCCUUCCCCUAAACAGCAACUAAUAUAUGUUAAACAUGUGUAAUUCUUCUAUACAUUUACCAUGUUGCAAAAAAAAAAAAAAAAAGAUUAAAAAGGGAAAAAUGAGAAAGAGAAAAAAGCAAGCAAAACAACAAAAAAGGUGAAAAUGCUAUAUUGUGAUCUACAUUCAGUCACUAUAGUCCUCUUUAUGGAUGCAGACUCCAUCACAAGUCUCCCAAUUACAUUUUAAUGUGGUUCUGGCCUUAUAUUUGAUACUUCUAUUUUAAAGAACUGCUUAAAUGAGCUUAGGGUGACCUUCAAUAGGCAGCAUCAAAGAAGGAAAACCAAAGGCCAACUAAAAUAGAAUAAACAACAUAACUCCCUGAAGGAAUCUAGGAGAGUCCCAGGAAAGUCCAGGUCUAAAAGAUUAUCCAUAUGAUGAGUGAUACCAAAAGAUUGCAACUGACAAUGAAUCUCAAUUUUAAAAGGUGACAAUAAAUGAAAGCAACAUCAGGAAUAUCAGGGAUGCAGCAAAAAUGAUUACAGUUGUCAUUAUGGAUCAGGAAGAAUUGCCCUAUACUACUAAAGAUUCCUUCACCUCCAUCUUUCCGGUAGGGAAGUGGGACAGGGAGGUGGGGGCUAGAAGAGUAAAAAAAAAAAAAUUUAAAGGAGAAAUACAUCCUAUGAAAAGCCUCUGAAGAAUUUCCCAAUUUAACCUCCCCCUUAUUUUCAGACAAAUAUUGAAGGGGGGGUUUAGUUACAAGUUUAAUUUGUCAAUCUCUUCGUUUUAUUGAAGAAAAUCUUUGAGAUGUAAAAUACUUAAUUUGGCUAUAUGCCCACAAUUUAAUGUCAUCUUAUUGUUGUUCCUUCUCCACAGUCCCUUGGUUCUCUAGGUUUUCCUUGCAGAGGAAUUGUGUGCAAAUGAUCAUUAGGGGAAGUUUUAGAAGCAAUGCAGAGGAACUAGUCAGGUCUAGAUUAUAGUAAGCAAUUAUGCUUACCUUCUCUGCCUGUUAUCUUUUGCUGUCAGUUACUACUGGGGCCUGCAUGUCUGUCCACUGCCCAUAUUUAUGCCUACUGCCCCUGUUGACACUAAAGCCUACAUGCUUCCUCCUGCUAACAACACAAAUCCAAGUACCUGGAUUCUAUCAAAUAUUCUAAAAACAAUUCCAUUAUUCUAUAAGUAGUUGAAAACAGGGAAAACAGUUUAACAGCAAUCUAAGAACAUUCAACUAAAUGGGAAUUUGAAGGAGAAACUACAAAUUUUUCCAGCUUAAUAUCACAAAUUUGAUCUUCAGUUUAGUGACCAGGACAGAAACUGUAUUUGAUAAGGGUAGUAUAGAAUCAAAGAUUCAGUGUUUGGAACUAAAGCAACAGUGUAGGUUGCUGACAGCAGACCCCUGGCCCAUCACCAAGGGAUCAAAUUAGAAGCAAGAAUUCAGUAUGCAUUAUUCAUUAUGCUCACAGCCUGUGGCCAAGAUCAUCAGCUCAGCCAGAUCUGGAGAUCUGGAGGAGCUUCUCAACUGACUAGGCUCCCAGAACUCAGUCCUGAGGCAGAAGUCUGAGAUUCUGGAAACUGAUCAGUUCCAUCCUAGCUUAAAGAAACAACGAGGAAUCUCCCAGAGAAGGCAGGAGCUGAAUUUAAGCACUAAGAGCUUUGAGCUAGAUUUGUAGCAUAAGGAGGCCUAAAAAUAAUCAAGUUCAGCCUCUAGUCAAGGACAAUAACUCAGGCCUGGAGCACUUUAUAUUCAGGACCUAGAAUCUCUAACCUAGAGUCCUCCACCUAAGAAAUCAGGGUCAGGAUCAUCAUCCAGACAAUCCAGAAUCACAGAAAGCCUAGAAAGAGUUCCUAUUAGGAAGCCAGUGAUGCCAUGUUGUCUAGAUCAGAACUACAACUUUUUUCCACUUGCAACCUCUUUUUGCUUAAGUUUUAUAUGAACUGAAGUAUACAGGUAUGUACAAUAAGUACACAAAUCAAACAUUAAAUAAGUUUAUGAUAAUAUGAUGAAAUUAUGAUUUCAUGAUGACAUUCAAUUACAUGACCCUAUAUGGGUUGUGACACAUACUUUAAGAAGCGUUGGUCUGGAUUGUUAGAAUGACUUUUUAAAAAAAAAAAGCAAAAAACCUUUUAUAAUGCCUAAAUACCUGACACAAACUCAAAAGAAAAUAACAGCAAAGAUGCAAACAAAAAAAUAAUUUGCCCAUAGAGAAAAUAGAAUUCCUAGAAAAGUUGAGUUUUUAAAGAGUUUAAAUGAUAUAAUUUAAAUGGCAAUACUAGUGGAAAGAAUUAGAAAAGAAAAACUUCAAAGCACAUAAAAAAGAUAGACUAACUUCUCUUAUCCCCUGGACCUCUCAAAUCUUUACAAAACAAACUAUGUAUAAAAAGAUAAACCAGCUAGCUCCAUGAUUUAGGAUAUCAAGCCUUUCAGUGGAAUAGGUUAGAUUCACAGGACAAAAUAGUCAAUGACUAUAGUACUAGUGUUUGGCAAACCCAAAGACCCCAGCUUUUGGGAAUAAGAAUUCACUAUUUGACAAAAACUAGGAAAAUUGGAAACUAAUAUGGCAGAAACUAGGUAUUGACCCACACUUAAAACUGAAUACCAAGAUAAGGUCAAAAUGGUUCGUGAUCUACAUAUAAAGAAUGAUAUUAUAAACAAAUUAGAAGAAAUAGAAUAGUUUACCUCUCAGAUCUGUGGAGGAAGAAGGAAUUUGUGACCAAAGAAGUAGAGACCGUUAUUGAUCACAAGAUAAUUUUGAUUGUACAAACAAAACUAAUGCAGACAAGAUUAGAAGGGAAGCAAUAAACUGAGAAAACAUUUUUACAUUCAAGGGUUCUGAUAAAGGCCUCAUUUCUAAAAUAGAGAAUUGACUCAAAUUUAUAAAAAUUCAAGCCAUUCUCCAGUUGGUAAAUGAUCAAAUGAUAUAGACAGGUUUCAGACAAAGAAAUUGAAACUAUCUCUAGUCAUAGGAAAAGAUGCUCUAAAUCAUUAUUGAUCAGAGAAAUGCAAAUUAAGAACUCUGAGAUACCACUAUACACCCCUUAGAUUGCCUGAGAUGAUAGGAAAAGAUGAUGAAUGUUGGAGAAAAUGUGGGAACACUGGGACAUUAAUACACUGUUGGUGGAACUGAAUGGAUCCAACCAUUCUGUAGAGCAGUUUGGAACUAUGCCCCAAGAGUUAUCAAACUCUGCAUACCCUUUGACCCAGCAGUGUUUCUACUGGGCUUAUAACCCAAAGAGAUCUUAAAGGAAGAAAAGAACUCACAUGUGCAAAAAUGUUCAUGGCAGUCCUUUUGUAGUGGCAAGAAACUGGAAACUGAAUGAAUGCCCAUCAGUUGGAGAAUGGUUGGAUAAGUUAUGGUAUAUAAAUGUUAUGGAAUAUUAUUGUUCUAUAAGAAAUCGUCAGCAGAAUGAUUUCAGAAAGGCCUGGAGAGAUUUGCAGGAACUGAUAUUAAAGGAAAUGAGUAGAACUAGGAGAUCAUUGUACACAGUAAUAGCAAUAUUAUACGAUGAUUAAUUCUGAUGUACAUGGUUCUCUUCAACAAUGAGAUGAUUCAGACCAAUUCAAUGGUCUUAUGAUCAAAAGAACCAUCUAUACCCAGAGAGAGAACUGUGGGACUUGAGUGUGGUUCACAACAUAAUCUCUUUGUUUGCAUUUUAUUUUCAUUUUUUUUUCUGGUCUGAUUUGAUUUUUCUUGUACAGCAAUAUAAUUGUAUAAAUAUGUAUGCAUACAUUGGAUUUAACAUUUCUACCAUGUUUAACAUAUAUUAGACUACUUGCCAUCUAGGGGAGAGGGAAAGGAAAAACUGGAACACAAGGUUUUGCAAGGACUAAUGUUGCAGAAUUAUCUAUGCAUAUGCUUUGAAAAAUAAAAAAACUUAAAUAGAAAAAUUAUCUGUGCAUAAGUUUUGAAAAUUAAAAGCUUAAUAAUAGACUUUGAUAUUCCAUCUGAUUGGCAACAAAGCCUAAUCCACAGUUCUCCCUUCCUUUAGAACCCUGAAGAACCUAGCUGACUAGUCCUCUAGACUUAAAUUCACUGAGAUCACAUGUAGCUAAUGCAAUGACUGGCAUGCUGCAGAAGAUCUCUGCAGGAAAAGCAAAUGGAAAGGGGUAGGGUACAUAUCUGGGCUGGAAAUAGAAUUCAACAUUAUCUCACCACCUUUUCUCCCAGAAUCUCAGAGAUUCAAACUACAAAAAUCAAUGCUAUGGCACAAGCAUGGCAGCUCUCUGCUGGUCCCAGGCCAGAAAAAUAAUAGUUGUGGGCUAUUGGGACAGAAUGUGUGUCCAUGCGUCGGUGCAUGUUUGUACGUGUGUAUUGUGUGUGGUCAUACAUGUGCAUUUGUACAUGUGUGUAUGUCUGCAUGUGUGUGCUUUGUGUGUAGUGCAUUGUGUGAGUGUGAGCAUGUUUUGCAUGUGCAUGCAUCUGUACAUUUGCAUGUGUGUUUACAUGUGUGUCUGCAUUGUACAUGUGUUGGAGUUUGAGAGAAGGGUUUCUCUGUGGCAUUCCAGUUCUUUCCCCCCAUAACAUAUCGUGUUUCCCUGAUAAGACCUAUCCUGAAAAUAAGCCCUCCCCUUACUGUGUAAGAUUCCUCUAAAAUAAGCCCUCCCCCGAAAAAAAGCCCUAUUGAGAUUGCUACUGUAGUGAAGAUGAUCCCCUGCGCUACACGCUACAUUACGGUACCCUCUGUAUGCACCGUCCCCUUCCUCCCCCCACCUCCCCGGGGUGAAACGCAUGCCGCGCUCUGAGCUGCAUCCAAUCAGAGCUGCAGCAGUGAGCGUGUCAUCCUGUUCUUCCCCAGUGAUUUGCUUGCUGGCGCCAUUGAGAGCAGUGCCGCGGAGGAGAGCUGAGGCAGGACAACAUAAAAGCCCGAGAGAAGAAUAAAUCAAGUAAUGAUUCCUGCAGGAGUGACUGCUUAUCUCCAGACCCUUGAUAUUGCAAUAAACAAGCCAUUCAAGGACCAUUUGCGCAUGGAAGUCAAUGACUACAUUGAAAAUAGAAUGGAAAGAAAUCAGCGUGGAAACUUUGUGAAGCCCUGUCUGCAAGAAGUCGUGACUUGGGUGAAGAAGUCAUGGGAUCAAAUUACUAACAGCUGUGUCGCCAAGGCACUACGAGCAGGUUACCUGGACAAGACAUGUUCAUUUAAAGAGAGCUAUAUUGCUGGACAUGACAGAUUGGGUCCACUUCUUCUGAAGGAAAUAGAGGCGCAAGAUAUCCAGGCUAGAAUUCAGGGUAUGGACACUUAUGACAAUGUUGUUGAAGAAGAUGACAUGAUCAUUAUUGAAUAAAGGUACUUUUUUUUGUUCACAUUUGCCUGUUUAUUAAAAUUGCUGUCAAUGUUCAUUAAAAUAAGCCCUCCCCUGAAAAUAA
Antechinus flavipes (yellow-footed antechinus) is the source of this 10333-nucleotide long non-coding RNA. RefSeq lists it as uncharacterized. Lineage: Eukaryota; Metazoa; Chordata; Mammalia; Dasyuromorphia; Dasyuridae. The record is from RefSeq and is a predicted model, not a curated record. The transcript is spliced from 2 exons.